UCGUAAAACUCUGUUGUAAGGGAAGAACAAGUACAGUAGUAACUGGCUGUACCUUGACGGUACCUUAUUAGAAAGCCACGGCUAACUACGUGCCAGCAGCCGCGGUAAUACGUAGGUGGCAAGCGUUGUCCGGAAUUAUUGGGCGUAAAGCGCGCGCAGGUGGUCCUUUAAGUCUGAUGUGAAAGCCCACGGCUCAACCGGGGAGGGUCAUUGGAAACUGGGGGACUUGAGUGCAGAAGAGGAAAGUGGAAUUCCAAGUGUAGCGGUGAAAUGCGUAGAGAUUUGGAGGAACACCAGUGGCGAAGGCGACUUUCUGGUCUGUAACUGACACUGAGGCGCGAAAGCGUGGGGAGCAAACAGGAUUAGAUACCCUGGUAGUCCACGCCGUAAACGAUGAGUGCUAAGUGUUAGGGGGCUUCCGCCCCUUAUUGCUGCAGCUAACGCAUUAAGCACUCCGCCUGGGGAGUACGGUCGCAA
RNAcentral lists this ribosomal RNA (477 nucleotides) under Lysinibacillus sp. RNAcentral describes it as "bacterial SSU rRNA". It matches the Rfam family "Bacterial small subunit ribosomal RNA", at positions 423 to 891 of the family's 1533-position model. Lineage: Bacteria; Bacillati; Bacillota; Bacilli; Caryophanales; Bacillaceae. The record is from RNAcentral.